AGUUUGAUUAUGGCUCAGGAUGAACGCUGGCGGCGUGCCUAACACAUGCAAGUCGAGCGAGAACUUAUGUAAAGAAACUUCGGUAGAUUUACAAAAGGGAAAGCGGCGGACGGGUGAGUAACGCGUAGGCAACCUGCCCCAUACAGGGGGAUAGCCACCGGAAACGGUGAUUAAUACCUCAUAAAGCAUAGAUAACACAUGUUAAAGAUGUCAAAGAGAAUUCGGUAUGGGAUGGGCCUGCGUCUGAUUAGUUAGUUGGUGAGGUAACGGCUCACCAAGGCGACGAUCAGUAGCCGACCUGAGAGGGUAGGCGGCCACAUUGGAACUGAGACACGGUCCAGACUCCUACGGGAGGCAGCAGUGGGGAAUAUUGCACAAUGGGCGAAAGCCUGAUGCAGCAACGCCGUGUGAAUGAAGAAGGCCUUAGGGUCGUAAAAUUCUGUCCUAAGGGAAGAAAAAGAUGACG
RNAcentral lists this ribosomal RNA (466 nucleotides) under Peptostreptococcaceae bacterium canine oral taxon 110. RNAcentral's name for it is "bacterial SSU rRNA". It matches the Rfam family "Bacterial small subunit ribosomal RNA", at positions 10 to 459 of the family's 1533-position model. The record is from RNAcentral. Lineage: Bacteria; Bacillati; Bacillota; Clostridia; Peptostreptococcales; Peptostreptococcaceae.